AACGCAAAUUGCGCUCCAUGGUAACGUGGAGCAUGCCUGGUUGAGUAUCAGUAACCCACCUCACCCAAAUACCCUUUGGGUGGAUAUGAGGCGUCUCGGUCUAUUCAAGGCCAAGUCCCUUUAAGAAUCGAGAUGUGCGCCAUAUGCUUAUGUCGUACAAAUGAUGUGGUAGUUUGUUUUACAAAACUUCAUCAUUUGACAUGUAGCCUGUGCCCACAUUUGCCCUCUCUGCGCGAGAGAACCACUGGCCUCACGGCCUUUGAAUCCUUGAUCUCAACUCAGGUAAGACUACCCGCUGAACUUAA
This 305-nucleotide unclassified non-coding RNA is filed under the name uncultured fungus. Its description in RNAcentral is "partial contains 5.8S ribosomal RNA, internal transcribed spacer 2, and large subunit ribosomal RNA". Lineage: Eukaryota; Fungi. The record is from RNAcentral.